CUCUAAACCUUUUCCUUCUAUAAUGGCGACCGGUUUCGUUCCUUUAUCAAUCUCAGGUGGAUCUCAAUUGAAGGCACAUGAGCUUUGGUUCUCAAAGUCCAAUUCAUUUGUAAAAACAACAAAACUGGUAGUUCAAAGGAAGUCAAACCAGGUGGGAAACCGCAAGUUGUCUGUUCGUGCAGAAUACAAUGAUGGUAGUAGGGGCAGUGGCAGCGAUUUUGUUGCAGGAUUUCUUUUAGGAGGCGCCAUAUUUGGAACUUUAGCUUAUAUUUUUGCUCCUCAGAUAAGAAGAUCCCUGCUGAAUGAAGAUGAAUAUGGGUUCCGGCGGGCCAAGCGACCAAUAUAUUAUGACGAAGGUUUAGAGAUGACCAGGCAGACCUUGAAUGCAAAGAUCAGCCAACUGAAUUCUGCUAUCGACAAUGUAUCUUCACGUUUGAGAGGCGGCAAUAGUUCACCUCCUAUGCCUGUCGAAACUGAUCCUGAGGUAGAAGUUAGCAUGUGAGAUUUGUUUAUGUUUCUUCAUUAUAAUCUCUCAGACCAAAUACUGUUUGAAAAACAGAUAUGGUUGUAUUUAUCGGGGGUUUAGCUUCUUCUUGUUUAACUGAGAAUACAAGUGUUAUAGUUAGCAUUAUAGCAGCAUACAACACUGGCAUUUUUCAUGUAGACUUGAGAGUUUGAGGGUUUAUAAUAGCCUCCAAGUCUGUUCUCUUUUUUUUUUUUUUUUUUUUUU
RNAcentral lists this unclassified non-coding RNA (730 nucleotides) under Hevea brasiliensis (rubber tree). The record is from RNAcentral. Lineage: Eukaryota; Viridiplantae; Streptophyta; Magnoliopsida; Malpighiales; Euphorbiaceae.